Long non-coding RNA from Acyrthosiphon pisum (pea aphid), 614 nucleotides. RefSeq lists it as uncharacterized. The record is from RefSeq and is a predicted model, not a curated record. NCBI's taxonomy places the organism in Eukaryota, Metazoa, Arthropoda, Insecta, Hemiptera, Aphididae. The transcript has 3 exons.
UAAAUUUAAGUUUACAUAUUAUUGAUUGGAAUUUUUUUAAUUUUAGCUACAACGAUUAUUAUCAAGAAAUUGUAUUAUCAAAAAUAAAUGCAGCAGCCACUACUUCAUUGAGUAAAAAAAGACAUUAGUAUGGCAAAAACAUCAUAAAGAAUAACAAUGUAUUUGAUGUAUCUGGUUGAUGUGGAAAAAGAUGGAAAUGGAUAAUGUUUGUAGAGUUUGUACAUGGCAAUCCAUGAAAGAGAGUUAUAUAAAAUAUGAUAUUGUUAAAAACUAUAAAGAAAGAAAUCCAUUUAUAAAACUAAAAGUCAUGGAACUUUUGCUUCAUGGUCAGCGGUCUGUACCUACUUUGUUUCAUUUUGUAAUUUUUUAUAUUAUAUAUUAUGUAGGAAUAUAAUAUAAUAAAAAUUGUUUCUAUUCAUUUCUAUUUUAGUUUAAAGCUUAAGAAAAAAAAACAAAUUAUACGAAAGCAAGUUCAUAGUAGAACUCUAUAUACUCUUACAAAAAAAAUAUAUUUAUGUUAACAUUAUAAUUUUAUACCUACUUGAAUAUUUAAAUACUUUCUUAGUUUUGUUACCAAACCUAGGCCAUUUUCACCUUAUUUUUAUAGAAUUAAA